Molecule: ribosomal RNA, 440 nt
Filed under: uncultured bacterium
Lineage: Bacteria
Description: partial 16S ribosomal RNA
Rfam family: Bacterial small subunit ribosomal RNA
Source: RNAcentral
CCUACGGGAGGCAGCAGUGGGGAAUAUUGCACAAUGGGGGGAACCCUGAUGCAGCGACGCCGCGUGAGUGAAGAAGUAUUUCGGAAUGUAAAGCUCUAUCAGCAGGGAAGAAAAUGACGGUACCUGACUAAGAAGCCCCGGCUAACUACGUGCCAGCAGCCGCGGUAAUACGUAGGGGGCAAGCGUUAUCCGGAUUUACUGGGUGGAAAGGGAGCGUAGACGGUUAUGCAAGUCUGAAGUGAAAGCCCAAAGCUCAACCAUGGGACUGCUUUGGAAACUGUAAAACUGGAGUGCAGGAGAGGUAAGCGGAAGUCCUAGUGUAGCGGUGAAAUGCGUAGAUAUUAGGAGGAACACCAGUGGCGAAGGCGGCUUACUGGACUGUAACUGACGUUGAGGCUCGAAGGCGUGGGGAGCAAACAGGAUUAGAUACCCCUGUAGUC